AAUGGGUCAGCGACUUAUAUUCUGUAGCAAGGUUAACCGAAUAGGGGAGCCGGAGGGAAACCGAGUCUUAAUUGGGCGUUAAGUUGCAGGGUAUAGACCCGAAACCCGGUGAUCUAGCCAUGGGCAGGUUGAAGGUUGGGUAACACUAACUGGAGGACCGAACCGACUAAUGUUGAAAAAUUAGCGGAUGACCUGUGGCUGGGGGUGAAAGGCCAAUCAAACCGGGAGAUAGCUGGUUCUCCCCGAAAGCUAUUUAGGUAGCGCCUCGUGAAUUCAUCUCCGGGGGUAGA
This 290-nucleotide ribosomal RNA is filed under the name Salmonella enterica subsp. enterica serovar Enteritidis. Its description in RNAcentral is "partial 23S ribosomal RNA". It matches the Rfam family "Bacterial large subunit ribosomal RNA", at positions 614 to 906 of the family's 2925-position model. Lineage: Bacteria; Pseudomonadati; Pseudomonadota; Gammaproteobacteria; Enterobacterales; Enterobacteriaceae. The record is from RNAcentral.